CUACAACACAAGGAGUAGAUCUAAUAUGGCCGCUGGCUUAGUCAGUUCAGGCUACUAUAACAAAUUACCGUAGUUUGGUGGGCUUACACAACAAACUUUUAUGUCAUAGUUCUUUAGGAUAGAAGUCCAAGAUCAGGGUUGUGAUCCGGGACUUCAGAUCAGAGCUGCAGCAUGGUGGUGUUCUUGCAGAGAAGUCCCGAUGGAGUCAGUGAGCUGUCAAACCACGAGGUGAUACAGAAAACCAAUCUGAAAAUGAAGAGAACAAUGCAGGGUGUAUAGGAAGACUAUGGAGGAAGACGCAGGCUGACAUCUGCCCCAUCACAAUAAAGUGUCAGCAUCUUGCACGUGAAUGAAGAAACCGGCCCUUUGAGAACCGGUCCAACCCAGGGUUCCAGGCCUUCCCAGGUCCCUUCCAGCUUUCCCCUGGUUCCCAAGCAUCCACCCAUCUCAAGGCCAGGGCGUGCGUUCCCAAGGAUGCUCGGCCCUCUCCCAACCCGCGGCCUCCUCCCCUCUCUCCUGCUGCUGCUGCCGCGAAAACCAGGAGAAGUGGAAUGCGCACGGCGAAGCGCCGCGCUCUCGCGGAGGCACUGGGCAUGCUCGGCACCCAGGGCAGGUUUGGGCGGCGGGGCGGACGCUUCCUCACUAGCCAGGCGCCCGAGCCGGCCGCCGAGGCAGAGGUGGAGGCUGAGGCUGCCGCGCGCCGCGGGAGGAGCCUCGCCCUCGGCGGCCGCGGCGGCGGCGGCACAGGUGGCGCGGGC
RNAcentral lists this long non-coding RNA (758 nucleotides) under Equus caballus (horse). RNAcentral's name for it is "lncRNA (ENSECAG00000050922.1)". Lineage: Eukaryota; Metazoa; Chordata; Mammalia; Perissodactyla; Equidae. The record is from RNAcentral.